RNAcentral lists this ribosomal RNA (322 nucleotides) under uncultured eukaryote. Its description in RNAcentral is "partial 18S ribosomal RNA". It matches the Rfam family "Eukaryotic small subunit ribosomal RNA", at positions 1470 to 1796 of the family's 1831-position model. The record is from RNAcentral.
CCCUUAGAUGUUCUGGGCCGCACGCGUGCUGCACUGAGUGGAUCAGCGGGUCAGGUUACGCGAGAGCGUUUCCUAAUCUUCAAAUCCGCUCGUGAUGGGGAUUGACGGUUGCAAUUUUCCGUCAUGAACGAGGAAUACCUUGUAAGCGCGGGUCAUCAUCCCGCGCUGAAUACGUCCCUGCCCUUUGUACACACCGCCCGUCGCUCCUACCGAUUGAGUGGUCCGGUGAGGCUUUGGGAUCUAAGCGAAAAGAGCGUUUCGCUCCUUUUGCUGGGAGAACUCAGUCGAACCUUAUCAUUUAGAGGAAGGAGAAGUCGUAACA